AUAUAUAGGUGAAAUUUGGAUAGUGUAUUAUUGUAUUGAUUGUAAAUGUAUAUGCAAAUUUUGAGAUCAAUAAAAUAGUUAGAUUGAAGUAUAUGAGGAUUUUUGUGGAUUGAGAUCUCAAAAAUUGGAAUUUGAGGGUCAGUGAAUAUUUCUAAGAUCUUUAGGAAUUUGUAACUUGAAUUAAAGUGAUUUUUUUAUGUGGAUAUUAGACUCAAUUUUCAAUAUUUGAAUGUAAUUUGAAAGCAAUUUGAAAGCAAUUUAACAUUUCAAAAAAGAGAUGUAGGCACUGGAAGUUUAGUAUUCAAGUUGGAAAACAAGGCUGCCUAAUACCUCAUUAGACUAUCUUGCAUUUCUCUCAAUUGGUAAGUGUAAUUGAUUUCAUCUUUCUUGUGCUUAUUUCUAACUAAGAUAUUAAGAAGAAUGCAAAUUUUGAGUUGAUAUCAAGAGUUUGAUCAUUAAUUAUUGAGGUUCCAUUUUGCUAAAAGAUUUGUUAAGAGUUUGUUUAAGAUUUAGGAUUUGAUCUAGGAUUUGAUUAGGAUUUGGUUUAUGAUUUGUCUAUGGUUUGUUUAGGACUUAAGAUUUUAUCUAGAAUGUGUUUAGGAUUAGGAUUUGGUUUAGAACUUGAUUAAGAUUUGAAUUAGGAUUUGAUUUAGAACUUGAGUAGGAUUUAACUUAGGAUUUGAUUAAGAUUCUAUUAGGAUUUUAAUAAGAGUUUAACAUAAUAUUUUAUUAAUAUUUAUAAAGAUUUUAAUUAAGAUUAAAUUAAAGUUUAAUUAGAAUUUUAUU
RNAcentral lists this long non-coding RNA (786 nucleotides) under Physcomitrium patens. RNAcentral's name for it is "long non-coding RNA (PPAT_LNC003726)". The record is from RNAcentral. Lineage: Eukaryota; Viridiplantae; Streptophyta; Bryopsida; Funariales; Funariaceae.